This 199-nucleotide ribosomal RNA is filed under the name uncultured bacterium. RNAcentral describes it as "partial 16S ribosomal RNA". It matches the Rfam family "Bacterial small subunit ribosomal RNA", at positions 335 to 524 of the family's 1533-position model. The record is from RNAcentral.
ACUCCUACGGAAGGCAGCAGUGGGGAAUCUUGCGCAAUGGGCGAAAGCCUGACGCAGCGACGCCGCGUGGGUGACGAAGGCCUUCGGGUUGUAAAGCCCUGUGGGGUAGAACGAACUGGCAUCGGGCUAAUAUCCCCGGUGUCUUGACGGUACUGCCUUAGCAAGCAUCGUCUAACUCUGUGCCAGCAGCCGCGGUAAU